AUCACGGGCCGCCUGGCUGCAGGGGGCGGGCCCAUGGCGGAGGCGUUAGCCGCCUCGCGGCGGAGCGGGCGGUGUGGCGGGAGCAGGCGGCGGCUUGUUGCUCCGCCCGCGGUCCCGCCGCUGUUCUCGCUGGGUGGUGACUGCCCUGAGCUGUGAGCGACCAGUGGCGAGGAAAAUUCUGUCCAAGUCGGAGACUUGAAGAGCCCUCACCUGUGAGGGCCAUACCUGCCUUUGGGAAGCUGCAUUACCCGAGGCGGAUUUUGGACUCAGGGAUUUCUGUUUGGGUUUCACCACAUCCUCUGGGAGUCCCCUCCGUGUCGCCCUCACGGUUUCCCAGAACACCCUUCUGGACUCGCCUCCUGGGACCGGGGGUGCCCGGCGCCCCUUCAAUCUCGGACCCGCGCCCACGUGAUCAAGACUGGAGGAAAGUCCUGGACAUUUACGUCGCUGAAGGCAAUCGCAGACUUUGUUUUUUGAAAAAACGAGUGAAACAAACUUUUGCCAGUCAGAUUAGUAUUGCUGUCCCGUUCGUGGAAACUGCAAGCUGUGAUUCGUUGUUAGGGUGCAAUGAAUUUCCAAAAUUGAUUCCUAGGUGAGCAAGUGGAAGACGUGAUCAUAUGAAUAGCAAUCCAGUUGAAUUUAUCUAAGACAAUUCACAGGAGGAUCUGAAAGCGUUUCUUAAAUCAGGAAGCAGCAGCUCUGGGUGGAGGGCAGAGCCCGCCUGAUAGGUUUGAUUGCUUCCUCUUUAGCAAUUCUUAUCGUUCAAAAAAUAGUCGCUUUGAAAGAGGAAAUGUUUCUUCAUCACCCAGGACCAGCUCUCUGCAUAAGAUUGUUUCGAGGAAUCACUGAUGAUAAAGCACCUGCAGAAAAGAAAAAUAAGUAAAUAAAAGGGGCAGCAAUUAUUCGUGAACUAUAACCAAAAAUGCAUAUUUGUGAG
This 937-nucleotide long non-coding RNA is filed under the name Marmota monax (woodchuck). Lineage: Eukaryota; Metazoa; Chordata; Mammalia; Rodentia; Sciuridae. The record is from RNAcentral.